RNAcentral lists this ribosomal RNA (253 nucleotides) under uncultured bacterium. RNAcentral's name for it is "partial 16S ribosomal RNA". It matches the Rfam family "Bacterial small subunit ribosomal RNA", at positions 524 to 776 of the family's 1533-position model. The record is from RNAcentral.
GACGUAGGGCGCGAGCGUUGUCCGGAUUUAUUGGGCGUAAAGAGCUCGUAGGCGGUCUGUCGUGUCUGCUGUGAAAACUCAGGGCUUAACCCUGAGCUUGCAGUGGGUACGGGCAGACUAGAGUGCGGUAGGGGAGACUGGAAUUCCUGGUGUAGCGGUGAAAUGCGCAGAUAUCAGGAGGAACACCGGUGGCGAAGGCGGGUCUCUGGGCCGUAACUGACGCUGAGGAGCGAAAGCAUGGGGAGCGAACAGG